RNAcentral lists this ribosomal RNA (253 nucleotides) under uncultured bacterium. RNAcentral describes it as "partial 16S ribosomal RNA". It matches the Rfam family "Bacterial small subunit ribosomal RNA", at positions 524 to 776 of the family's 1533-position model. The record is from RNAcentral.
UACGGAGGGAGCUAGCGUUGUUCGGAAUUACUGGGCGUAAAGCGCACGUAGGCGGCUUUGUAAGUUAGAGGUGAAAGCCCGGGGCUCAACCCCGGAAUUGCCUUUAAGACUGCAUCGCUUGAAUCCGGGAGAGGUGAGUGGAAUUCCGAGUGUAGAGGUGAAAUUCGUAGAUAUCAGGAGGAACACCUGUGGUGUAGACAGCUUACUGGACCACUUCUGACGCUGAGACACGAAAGCGUGGGUAGCAAACAGG